Molecule: long non-coding RNA, 531 nt
Filed under: Mus spretus (western wild mouse)
Lineage: Eukaryota; Metazoa; Chordata; Mammalia; Rodentia; Muridae
Description: lncRNA (ENSMSPG00010048775.1)
Source: RNAcentral
AGCAGUGGAGCUUUUAGCAGCGAUGGGGGGGAUGCUGGAGCGCCCUUCGUUUUCUCACCUGCGCAAUCGUUUCGGUUUUGAGCUGGCAGCGUUUAUCAUCCUCUCGCACACACUUAGGGAAUGUCAUCGCAAAGAAUCUCGAGAGAUUUGACUCAAAUGAAGAGAAAGCUAGGAGACACCAGGUCCUCUAGAGCAGCCAAUGUCAGGUCCUUCAUUUCCCUGGAUGCUAUAGCGGAUUGGAGUAGAAGUACAAAAUGAGCUGGACCCCAGCCUGAGUUUAGGAGAUGGAUUCCCAGGCAUAGAGAAGCAGAGCAGAAAUAAGGUAGAAGACGGGUAUUGGGAACAGUGGUAAAUGUCAAACUCUAAGCCAGCCAGCCAUGGCCAUCCAAUUCCAAGACUGGACCGAUGAUGGAGACCACUCCCAGUGACCCCAAUCUGAAUACUUCUGGAGAGACAGUAGCCGCCUUCCUUAGUCUGUUUCCCCACCUACGUUGGCAGUGUCAUCCAAUAUUGAGUAAAACUCCCUAAUCC